AUUCGAUUAACGCGAAGAACCUUACCUGGCCUUGACAUCCAGAGAACUUAGUAGAGAUGCUUUGGUGCCUUCGGGAACUCUGAGACAGGUGCUGCAUGGCUGUCGUCAGCUCGUGUUGUGAAAUGUUGGGUUAAGUCCCGCAACGAGCGCAACCCUUAUCCUUUGUUGCCAGCGGCUCGGCCGGGAACUCAAAGGAGACUGCCGGUGAUAAACCGGAGGAAGGUGGGGAUGACGUCAAGUCAUCAUGGCCCUUACGGCCAGGGCUACACACGUGCUACAAUGGCGCAUACAAAGAGAAGCGACCUCGCGAGAGCAAGCGGACCUCAUAAAGUGCGUGUAGUCCGGAUUGGAGUCUGCAACUCGACUCCAUGAAGUCGGAAUCGCUAGUAAUCGUAGAUC
RNAcentral lists this ribosomal RNA (399 nucleotides) under uncultured Pantoea sp. RNAcentral describes it as "bacterial SSU rRNA". It matches the Rfam family "Bacterial small subunit ribosomal RNA", at positions 949 to 1350 of the family's 1533-position model. The record is from RNAcentral. Lineage: Bacteria; Pseudomonadati; Pseudomonadota; Gammaproteobacteria; Enterobacterales; Erwiniaceae.